Long non-coding RNA from Dioscorea cayenensis subsp. rotundata (Guinea yam), 458 nucleotides. RefSeq lists it as uncharacterized. The transcript is spliced from 2 exons. NCBI's taxonomy places the organism in Eukaryota, Viridiplantae, Streptophyta, Magnoliopsida, Dioscoreales, Dioscoreaceae. The record is from RefSeq and is a predicted model, not a curated record.
AUCAAUGCCAAUUCUUGCGUUCCAGAAAACCCUAGAUAGCUCUAUAAAUAGGAGAUGAGAGCGGCUGCUUUCGUCUCCGAGGAGAGAAGCGAGAUCGGAGAGAUCGGUGAGAGCUUGACGCGAUGAGGGCCAAGUGGAAGAAGAAGCGUAUGAGGAGAUUAAAGAGGAAGCGCCGAAAGAUGAGGCAAAGAUCUAAAUAAGCUCGAACAUUUAGUUGAAUUCCUGGCAAGGAUGGAUCUUGAAGCUUUUCACAAGGAUGGUGGAAAGCUCUCUCCUUCUUCUGCCUCUUGUAGUUAUGCAUUUCAGUUCUACUGAUUUCUCAUAAACUAGUCUAAGUGCUCUGAUGUUAAGACUGAUAUGUUUGGAGUGAUUACCUGUUUUCUGCAUUUUAAUAUGUUGUUAUUGUUAUUAGCAUUUGGUACCAAAUUGAUGAUAUUUGGUGAUGGUUUGUUCUUGUU